AUGGAGUCCAGACUAAAACGUGUGCAGAAGGCAUGUCAUAAGAAAACAGGUCACUCCCCAGCAGUUCCAGCACAGCUCCCUAGAGCUACACAAGAAGAGAUCAUCUCCUCAAGAAGAGACCUCCCUGCUAGGACAGCAAAACUUCUGGGCCCCACGUAUUCAGUGGCAACUGUCUCAACUGGGUGUCCCAUCCGCUGCUGUGUUCCUGACUCUUUCCACCCCAGUCUUCGAGGUUCCCAGAAAACCUGCCUUCAGCAGACAUUGGAUCUGGGCCCAGCAAAGCAGGAGCUUUCGGGAGGCCCUCCAGCCCAUGACGCAGCGGAGCUAGCAGCACCUGCGCUUGGCAGUGUCUUUUCCCCUUUGCUGAGGAUUCCCCAUGGAAAAGAAGCCACUCUAGACAGUCUUGGAGGGAAGAGAGCAAACUCCUGAGCAGGAAUGGAGGUGGACCAGAGUCAGUAAGCCUUUCAGAAGACUUUGAAGGUCAGGUGCUGAGCUGAGGAAGACCUCCCGUUCCCUCAGUUUCCUUGCUCUCUCCCCGGUCCGACUACCUGGAUAGAAACUGUGCCAGUUGCAGUCAGGCCAGCGUGAGUCAUCUUCUGCCACUGUUUUCCUGGCACAAGGACUGUGCCGCUGCGUGUGGGUGGAAGCCGCGCACACAUAUGCACAAAUACGGCUCAAGCAUCACUCGGGACAAGGCCGACUUUGCAGAGCCGGGCGGCUGGAGCUGCCCCCGGUGCCCACCCCAGCUCCAGCAUGGACUGAGCAGCUCCAAGGCUCUGCACCCAUAGAGGGGGCCUCAAAUUGCCAGCCGCUGAGGGCUUUGAAAUGGUUGGACCCCCCCCCCCGAAGCCCUACACACACACCCCUUGGGUCAGAAAAUCAGGACGCUGGAGUGUUUCAUCUAGGAUAGGUUUGGGGAGAAAAGAGGACUGGGAUCUGGUGACCAGCUGUAGGGAUCAGCCAGCCAAAAUCGCUCUAGUCUCACUGCCGCUCUCCCCGCGCUGCUCUCUUCUCCCAUCCCUGCUUCAGACCCAGCGAUAGACACCAGUCCCCCCCCGCAUCCGCCUCCCCCCGCUCUUCUCUCCGCAGCCAGCCCAGGCGGGCUGGCAUCUGGCCCAGGCCUGCGGCACCUGCCUCCUCGCCAAGCACACCAGAACCCGGCAAAGCUUUCCACCCCUCUCAGCGCUGCCCGGGGUUCGGGUCAGGCAAAGGGGGGUGUUCAGCUUCAUCAGCCCCAAAGAGAGGCCAGUCCCAGGGUCCCCCCUUCCUUCCACAGCUCCUUUGGCAGCAAUAAAGCCCAGCGGCCGUAUACGCCGGAGUCGUCU
This 1325-nucleotide long non-coding RNA is filed under the name Apteryx owenii (little spotted kiwi). RNAcentral's name for it is "lncRNA (ENSAOWG00000017205.1)". The record is from RNAcentral. Lineage: Eukaryota; Metazoa; Chordata; Aves; Apterygiformes; Apterygidae.